Molecule: ribosomal RNA, 515 nt
Filed under: uncultured bacterium
Lineage: Bacteria
Description: bacterial SSU rRNA
Rfam family: Bacterial small subunit ribosomal RNA
Source: RNAcentral
GAUGAACGCUAGCGGGAGGCUUAACACAUGCAAGUCGAGGGGCAGCACGAGAUAGCAAUAUUUUGGUGGCGACCGGCGCACGGGUGAGUAACACGUAUGCAACCUACCUCGUACAGGGGGAUAACCCGGAGAAAUUCGGACUAAUAUCCCAUAAUAAUAUUGAAAGGCAUCUUUUAAUAUUUAAAGCUCAGGCGGUACGGGAUGGGCAUGCGGAACAUUAGCUAGUUGGUAGGGUAACGGCCUACCAAGGCUGCGAUGUUUAGGGGACCUGAGAGGGUUAUCCCCCACACUGGUACUGAGACACGGACCAGACUCCUACGGGAGGCAGCAGUGAGGAAUAUUGGUCAAUGGGCGCAAGCCUGAACCAGCCCAUCCCCGCGUGAAGGAAGAAGGCGCUAUGCGUCGUAAACUUCUUUUCCAGGGGGAGAAUUUUCCGGUCGUGACCGGAAUUGACGGUACUCUGGGAAUAAGCAUCGGCUAACUCCGUGCCAGCAGCCGCGGUAAGCAUACUCGUA